This is a non-coding RNA of Nerophis lumbriciformis (worm pipefish), 141 nucleotides long. Lineage: Eukaryota; Metazoa; Chordata; Actinopteri; Syngnathiformes; Syngnathidae. The record is from RefSeq and is a predicted model, not a curated record.
AUCUUUGUGCAGUGGUAGUAUCAUCUCUUGUUAGGUUUAUCCGAGGUGUGAUUAUUGCUAGUUGAAAACUUAACCCAAUAUCCCGCCUUCAUGACUUGAAAUAUAGUCAGCUAUGGCAAUUUAGGAUAGUCUCCAUUGAAA